GUGUUUGCUCCAGCAGCACAUACACUAAAAUUGGAAUGAUACAGAGAAAACUGGCAUGGCCCCAACACAAGGAUGAUGCACAAAUUUGUAAAGCUUUCCAUAUUUUA
Molecule: small nuclear RNA, 107 nt
Organism: Talpa occidentalis (Iberian mole)
Lineage: Eukaryota; Metazoa; Chordata; Mammalia; Eulipotyphla; Talpidae
Source: RefSeq, a predicted model, not a curated record